Molecule: long non-coding RNA, 239 nt
Filed under: Lathyrus oleraceus (garden pea)
Lineage: Eukaryota; Viridiplantae; Streptophyta; Magnoliopsida; Fabales; Fabaceae
Description: Pisum sativum (pea) long non-coding RNA (PSAT_LNC016829)
Source: RNAcentral
AAAAAAAAAGACUUACAACUUUUAGGGAUGAUCCCCUAAUGAUAGAAUUAAUUUACUGCUCUCUUUGGUACAAAAAUAUGCCUUGGACUCUCUAAAAAAUCAAAACACAAAUGACUAAACAUGUUUAUCAAUUUAUAAAAAAAAUUAUAUAAAAAAUGGAAGAUUGUAUCACACAUAUACUUAAUUGCACUGGAAUAUGAAGAUUUUCUACUUUACAAUUCUUCCAGAGUGUUGGGAUU